CGGAAUCUGCCUAUUUGUGGGGGAUAACGUAGGGAAACUUACGCUAAUACCGCAUACGACCUACGGGUGAAAGCGGAGGACCUUCGGGCUUCGCGCAGAUAGAUGAGCCGAUGUCGGAUUAGCUAGUUGGCGGGGUAAAGGCCCACCAAGGCGACGAUCCGUAGCUGGUCUGAGAGGAUGAUCAGCCACACUGGAACUGAGACACGGUCCAGACUCCUACGGGAGGCAGCAGUGGGGAAUAUUGGACAAUGGGCGCAAGCCUGAUCCAGCCAUGCCGCGUGGGUGAAGAAGGCCUUCGGGUUGUAAAGCCCUUUUGUUGGGAAAGAAAAGCGGUCGGUUAAUACCCGAUUGUUCUGACGGUACCCAAAGAAUAAGCACCGGCUAACUUCGUGCCAGCAGCCGCGGUAAUACGAAGGGUGCAAGCGUUACUCGGAAUUACUGGGCGUAAAGCGUGCGUAGGUGGUUUGUUAAGUCUGAUGUGAAAGCCCUGGGCUCAACCUGGGAAUUGCAUUGGAUACUGGCAGGCUAGAGUGCGGUAGAGGGUAGUGGAAUUCCCGGU
RNAcentral lists this ribosomal RNA (559 nucleotides) under uncultured bacterium. RNAcentral describes it as "bacterial SSU rRNA". It matches the Rfam family "Bacterial small subunit ribosomal RNA", at positions 119 to 674 of the family's 1533-position model. The record is from RNAcentral.